AAACUCGAAAGGAAGUUGACGGGGCCCGCACAAGCGGAGGAACAUGUGGUUUAAUUCGAUGAUACGCGAGGAACCUUUACCUGGGCUUAAAUGGGGAGUGACAGCUGUCGAAAGAUGGUUUUUCUUCGGACACUCUUCAAGGUGCUGCAUGGUUGUCGUCAGCUCGUGCCGUGAGGUGUCGGGUUAAGUCCCAUAACGAGCGCAACCCUUACCGUUAGUUACCAUCAGGUUAAGCUGGGGACUCUAGCGGGACUGCCACCGUAAGGUGAGAGGAAGGUGGGGAUGACGUCAAAUCAGCACGGCCCUUAUGUCCAGGGCUACACACGUGUUACAAUGGCCAGUACAAAGGGCAGCUACCGGGUGACCGGAUGCUAAUCUCUAAAGCUGGUCUCAGUUCGGAUCGAAGUCUGCAACCCGACUACGUGAAGUCGGAAUCGCUAGUAAUCGUGGAUCAGCAUGUCACGGUGAAUACGUUCCCGGGUCUU
This 485-nucleotide ribosomal RNA is filed under the name uncultured Sphingobacteriales bacterium. RNAcentral describes it as "bacterial SSU rRNA". It matches the Rfam family "Bacterial small subunit ribosomal RNA", at positions 897 to 1382 of the family's 1533-position model. Lineage: Bacteria; Pseudomonadati; Bacteroidota; Sphingobacteriia; Sphingobacteriales. The record is from RNAcentral.